This 464-nucleotide ribosomal RNA is filed under the name uncultured bacterium. Its description in RNAcentral is "partial 16S ribosomal RNA". It matches the Rfam family "Bacterial small subunit ribosomal RNA", at positions 28 to 507 of the family's 1533-position model. The record is from RNAcentral.
GACGAACGCUGGCGGCGUGCUUAACACAUGCAAGUCGAACGGAAAGGCCCUGAUAGCAGGAUACUCGAGUAGAGAACGGGUGAGUAACGCGGGAGAGAUCUGCCUAGCACUUCGGCAUCAGACUGGGAAACUGGGUCUAAUACCGGAAAGGAGCGAUUAUUAGCGUGUGGGACGGACAGAUUUCUCGGUGCGGGAGGAGCUCGCGGCCUAUCAGCUUGUUGGUGGGGUAAUGGCCUACCAAGGCGGCGACGGGUAGCCGGCCUGGGAGGGUGGACGGCCACAUUGGGAUUGAGAUACGGCCCAGACUCCUACGGGAGGCAGCAGUGGGGAAUAUUGCACAAUGGGCGCAAGCCUGAUGCAGCGACGCCGCGUGGGGGAUGACGGCCUUCGGGUUGUAAACUCCUUUCGCUAGGGACGAAGCUUUUGUGACGGUACCUAGAGAGGAAGCACCGGCUAACUACGUG